Molecule: ribosomal RNA, 572 nt
Filed under: Guibemantis sp. 19 MV-2009
Lineage: Eukaryota; Metazoa; Chordata; Amphibia; Anura; Mantellidae
Description: partial 12S ribosomal RNA
Rfam family: Bacterial small subunit ribosomal RNA (bases 1-509)
Source: RNAcentral
CCACUAUGCCUAGCCGUAAAAAAUUAAUUCACAAUAAUAAGCGCCAGGGAAUUACGAGCGCAAGCUUAAAACCCAAAGGAUUUGACGGUGUCCCACCCACCUAGAGGAGCCUGUUCUAUAAUCGAUAAUCCUCGAUAUACCCCACCACUUCUCGCCUACUCAGCCUGUAUACCUCCGUCGUAAGCUUACCACCUAAGUGUAAAAAAGUAAGUUUAAGGAUCACCCACCUACACGUCAGGUCAAGGUGCAGCCAAUGAAGUGGAAAGCAAUGGGCUACAAUCUCUAUAAUAGAACACACGAAAAACUACAUGAAACAAUAGUCAUGAAGGCGGAUUUAGUAGUAAAAGAAGAAUAGAGUGCUUCUUUUAACAAGGCUCUGGGACGUGUACAAACCGCCCGUCACCCUCUUCAAUAGCACACUUUUGAUCACUAACCCUUAAAGCAUUUUUAGAAGAGGCAAGUCGUAACAUGGUAAGUGUACUGGAAAGUGCACUUGGCAAAUCAAAAUGUAGCUUAACCAAAGCCUCUCGCUUACACCGAAAAAAUAUCUGUUAAACUCGGAUCAUUUUGAG